This 433-nucleotide ribosomal RNA is filed under the name uncultured bacterium. Its description in RNAcentral is "partial 16S ribosomal RNA". It matches the Rfam family "Bacterial small subunit ribosomal RNA", at positions 29 to 507 of the family's 1533-position model. The record is from RNAcentral.
AACGAACGCUGGCGGCAUGCCUAACACAUGCAAGUCGAACGAGACCUUCGGGUCUAGUGGCGCACGGGUGCGUAACGCGUGGGAACCUGCCCUUAGGUUCGGAAUAACUCCCCGAAAGGGGUGCUAAUACCGGAUAAUGUCUUCGGACCAAAGAUUUAUCGCCUUUGGAUGGGCCCGCGUUGGAUUAGCUAGUUGGUAGGGUAAAAGCCUACCAAGGCGACGAUCCAUAGCUGGUCUGAGAGGAUGAUCAGCCACACUGGGACUGAGACACGGCCCAGACUCCUACGGGAAGUAGCAGUGGGGAAUAUUGGACAAUGGGCGAAAGCCUGAUCCAGCAAUGCCGCGUGAGUGAUGAAGGCCUUAGGGUUGUAAAGCUCUUUUACCCGGGAUGAUAAUGACAGUACCGGGAGAAUAAGCUCCGGCUAACUCCGUG